AGUGAACGCUGGCGGUAGGCCUAACACAUGCAAGUCGAACGGCAGCACAGUAAGAGCUUGCUCUUACGGGUGGCGAGUGGCGGACGGGUGAGGAAUACAUCGGAAUCUACUUUUUCGUGGGGGAUAACGUAGGGAAACUUACGCUAAUACCGCAUACGACCUACGGUUGAAAGCAGUGGAUCUUCUGACCUUGCGCGAUUGAAUGAGCCGAUGUCGGAUUAGCUAGUUGGCGGGGUAAAGGCCCACCAAGGCGACGAUCCGUAGCUGGUCUGAGAGGAUGAUCAGCCACACUGGAACUGAGACACGGUCCAGACUCCUACGGGAGGCAGCAGUGGGGAAUAUUGGACAAUGGGCGCAAGCCUGAUCCAGCCAUACCGCGUGGGUGAAGAAGGCCUUCGGGUUGUAAAGCCCUUUUGUUGGGAAAGAAAAGCAGCAGGUUAAUACCCAGCUGUUCUGACGGUACCCAAAGAAUAAGCACCGGCUAACUUCGUG
Molecule: ribosomal RNA, 492 nt
Filed under: uncultured bacterium
Lineage: Bacteria
Description: partial 16S ribosomal RNA
Rfam family: Bacterial small subunit ribosomal RNA
Source: RNAcentral